Molecule: non-coding RNA, 726 nt
Organism: Pelmatolapia mariae (spotted tilapia)
Lineage: Eukaryota; Metazoa; Chordata; Actinopteri; Cichliformes; Cichlidae
Source: the annotation of a RefSeq genome assembly
AUGGACGCCUCCAUCUGUGGAGGAAGCUCAUGUGUUGUCACUGACAGCUCCUCAACAGGUACUGGCUGUAUCUCAUGGACUAAUAAAGUGUGCAAAAAAAAUUGUUUGUUUGUUUCAGAGUCAGAGAGCCGUGUCUCUCUACAGUCAGAGGUUUUUGUACGGCGGCUCAAUGAGUUUGUAUCACUGUGGUACACGUUCGGUGGAGGAACCAGACUGGAAUUUGGAAGUGAUGUCCGUCCCACCCUGACAGUGCUCGCCCCUUCCAGUAAGGAGCUGGAGCAGGGGAAUGCCACGCUCACAUGUCUGGCCAACAAGGGCUUUCCCUCAGACUGGAGUCUGUCCUGGAUCGUUGACGGCCGCAGAUGCAGCGGCAUUGAUUGGGAAGUGAGCAGGAGCCCCGGGGUGCAGCAGACAGACAGGCUCUACAGCUGGAGCAGCACCCUGAUGCUGCCUGCAGACCAGUGGGAGAAGGUGGGCUCUGUGACCUGUGAGGCCACGAGGGGCUCCCAGACUCCAUUCUCAGAGACACUGAGGAGAGACCAGUGUUCCCAGUCCUGACCUGAUUCACUGGGGGCAUGAUGCUGUUUUUUGUUGUUGUUCUUGUUUUUCAAACUUUGCUACAGCUCUCAGUCUGCAGUCUUUUUCAAUCUCAGUCUCUUUACUCUUAAUCGGUUUGUUGCCUGUUUUAUCAAGUUGUCAAGAUUUUACAGCAAUAAAGAUGUUUCA